Molecule: ribosomal RNA, 301 nt
Filed under: uncultured Streptomyces sp.
Lineage: Bacteria; Bacillati; Actinomycetota; Actinomycetes; Kitasatosporales; Streptomycetaceae
Description: bacterial SSU rRNA
Rfam family: Bacterial small subunit ribosomal RNA (bases 52-301)
Source: RNAcentral
ACCAAGACGAGGCCUGCGACGUGGGGAAUAGGUAGGGGCCUAGGGGUGGCUGGAUUUAUUGGCGUGAAAGAGGUCGUGGGCGUUUCGGUAAGGCAGGGGUGAAAUGUCCACGCUCAACGGGGAGGAGCCACCUGAUACUGCCGUGACGUGAGUCCGGUAGGGGAGUGUGGAAUUCCCGGUGUAGCGGUGAAAUGCGCAGAUAUCGGGAGGAACACCAGUAGCGAAGGCGGCACUCUGGGCCGGUACUGACGCUGAGGAGCGAAAGCGUGGGGAGCAAACAGGAUUAGAUACCCCUGUAGUC